GAUGAACGCUAGCGGCAGGCUUAACACAUGCAAGUCGAGGGGCAGCGCGAGUAGCAAUACUUGGCGGCGACCGGCGCAAGGGUGCGUAACGCGUGAGCAACAUGCCCGUAUCAGGGGGAUAAUCCAGGGAAACUUGGUCUAAUACCCCAUAGUAAUUUUGUAAGGCAUCUUAUGGAAUUUAAAGCUUUGGUGGAUACGGAUUGGCUCGCGUGACAUUAGCUGGAUGGUAAGGUAACGGCUUACCAUGGCUAUGAUGUCUAGGGGUUCUGAGAGGAAGGUCCCCCACACUGGAACUGAGACACGGUCCAGACUCCUACGGGAGGCAGCAGUGAGGAAUAUUGGACAAUGGAUGGAAAUCUGAUCCAGCCAUGCCGCGUGCAGGAAGACGGUCCUAUGGAUUGUAAACUGCUUUUGUAUGGGAGCAAUAAGGCCUUCGUGAAGGCUGAUGAGAGUACCAUACGAAUAAGCACCGGCUAACUCCGUGCCAGCAGCCGCGGUAAUACGGAGGGUGCAAGCGUUAUCCGGAUUUAUUGGGUUUAAAGGGUGCGUAGGCGGUUAUUUAAGUCAGUGGUGAAAGUUUUCGGCUCAACCGGAAAAUUGCCAUUGAUACUGGAUAGCUAGAAUAUGGUUGCUGUGAGUAGAAUGUGUGGUGUAGCGGUGAGAUGCAUAGAUAUCACACAGAAUACCGAUUGCGAAGGCAUCUCACGAAGCCAUCAUUGACGCUGAGGCACGAAAGUGUGGGGAUCAAACA
Molecule: ribosomal RNA, 751 nt
Filed under: bacterium enrichment culture clone B3-53
Lineage: Bacteria
Description: bacterial SSU rRNA
Rfam family: Bacterial small subunit ribosomal RNA
Source: RNAcentral